RNAcentral lists this ribosomal RNA (2324 nucleotides) under Klebsiella pneumoniae CHS 52. Its description in RNAcentral is "bacterial LSU rRNA". It matches the Rfam family "Bacterial large subunit ribosomal RNA", at positions 1 to 2353 of the family's 2925-position model. Lineage: Bacteria; Pseudomonadati; Pseudomonadota; Gammaproteobacteria; Enterobacterales; Enterobacteriaceae. The record is from RNAcentral.
UUAAGCGACUAAGCGUACACGGUGGAUGCCCUGGCAGUCAGAGGCGAUGAAGGACGUGCUAAUCUGCGAAAAGCGUCGGUAAGGUGAUAUGAACCGUUAUAACCGGCGAUGUCCGAAUGGGGAAACCCAGUGCAAUUCGUUGCACUAUCGUUAACUGAAUACAUAGGUUAACGAGGCGAACCGGGGGAACUGAAACAUCUAAGUACCCCGAGGAAAAGAAAUCAACCGAGAUUCCCCCAGUAGCGGCGAGCGAACGGGGAGCAGCCCAGAGUCUGAAUCAGCUUGUGUGUUAGUGGAACGGUCUGGAAAGUCCGACGGUACAGGGUGAUAGUCCCGUACACCAAAAUGCACAGGCUGUGAACUCGAAGAGUAGGGCGGGACACGUGGUAUCCUGUCUGAAUAUGGGGGGACCAUCCUCCAAGGCUAAAUACUCCUGACUGACCGAUAGUGAACCAGUACCGUGAGGGAAAGGCGAAAAGAACCCCGGCGAGGGGAGUGAAAAAGAACCUGAAACCGUGUACGUACAAGCAGUGGGAGCACCUUCGGGUGUGACUGCGUACCUUUUGUAUAAUGGGUCAGCGACUUAUAUUCUGUAGCAAGGUUAACCGUAUAGGGGAGCCGCAGGGAAACCGAGUCUUAACUGGGCGUUAAGUUGCAGGGUAUAGACCCGAAACCCGGUGAUCUAGCCAUGGGCAGGUUGAAGGUUGGGUAACACUAACUGGAGGACCGAACCGACUAAUGUUGAAAAAUUAGCGGAUGACUUGUGGCUGGGGGUGAAAGGCCAAUCAAACCGGGAGAUAGCUGGUUCUCCCCGAAAGCUAUUUAGGUAGCGCCUCGUGAACUCAUCUUCGGGGGUAGAGCACUGUUUCGGCUAGGGGGUCAUCCCGACUUACCAACCCGAUGCAAACUACGAAUACCGAAGAAUGUUAUCACGGGAGACACACGGCGGGUGCUAACGUCCGUCGUGAAGAGGGAAACAACCCAGACCGCCAGCUAAGGUCCCAAAGUCAUGGUUAAGUGGGAAACGAUGUGGGAAGGCACAGACAGCCAGGAUGUUGGCUUAGAAGCAGCCAUCAUUUAAAGAAAGCGUAAUAGCUCACUGGUCGAGUCGGCCUGCGCGGAAGAUGUAACGGGGCUAAACCAUGCACCGAAGCUGCGGCAGCGACACUAUGUGUUGUUGGGUAGGGGAGCGUUCUGUAAGCCUGCGAAGGUGUGCUGUGAGGCAUGCUGGAGGUAUCAGAAGUGCGAAUGCUGACAUAAGUAACGAUAAAGCGGGUGAAAAGCCCGCUCGCCGGAAGACCAAGGGUUCCUGUCCAACGUUAAUCGGGGCAGGGUGAGUCGACCCCUAAGGCGAGGCCGAAAGGCGUAGUCGAUGGGAAACAGGUUAAUAUUCCUGUACUUGGUGUUACUGCGAAGGGGGGACGGAGAAGGCUAUGUUAGCCGGGCGACGGUUGUCCCGGUUUAAGCAUGUAGGCUGAUUGUCCAGGCAAAUCCGGAUAAUCAAGGCUGAGGUGUGAUGACGAGGCACUACGGUGCUGAAGUAACAAAUGCCCUGCUUCCAGGAAAAGCCUCUAAGCAUCAGGUAACAUCAAAUCGUACCCCAAACCGACACAGGUGGUCAGGUAGAGAAUACCAAGGCGCUUGAGAGAACUCGGGUGAAGGAACUAGGCAAAAUGGUGCCGUAACUUCGGGAGAAGGCACGCUGGUGUGUAGGUGAAGUCCCUGCGGAUGGAGCUGAGACCAGUCGAAGAUACCAGCUGGCUGCAACUGUUUAUUAAAAACACAGCACUGUGCAAACACGAAAGUGGACGUAUACGGUGUGACGCCUGCCCGGUGCCGGAAGGUUAAUUGAUGGGGUUAUCCGUAAGGAGAAGCUCUUGAUCGAAGCCCCGGUAAACGGCGGCCGUAACUAUAACGGUCCUAAGGUAGCGAAAUUCCUUGUCGGGUAAGUUCCGACCUGCACGAAUGGCGUAAUGAUGGCCAGGCUGUCUCCACCCGAGACUCAGUGAAAUUGAACUCGCUGUGAAGAUGCAGUGUACCCGCGGCAAGACGGAAAGACCCCGUGAACCUUUACUAUAGCUUGACACUGAACAUUGAGCCUUGAUGUGUAGGAUAGGUGGGAGGCUUUGAAGCGUGGACGCCAGUCUGCGUGGAGCCAACCUUGAAAUACCACCCUUUAAUGUUUGAUGUUCUAACGUUGGCCCCUGACCGGGGUUGCGGACAGUGUCUGGUGGGUAGUUUGACUGGGGCGGUCUCCUCCCAAAGCGUAACGGAGGAGCACGAAGGUUAGCUAAUCCUGGUCGGACAUCAAACAUUAAAGGGUG